UACGGGAGGCAGCAGUGGGGAAUAUUGCACAAUGGGCGCAAGCCUGAUGCAGCCAUGCCGCGUGUGUGAAGAAGGCCUUCGGGUUGUAAAGCACUUUCAGCGAGGGAGGAAGGUGUGUAAGUUAAUACCUUACAUCAUUUGACGUUACUCGCAGAAGAAGCACCGGCUAACUCCGUGCCAGCAGCCGCGGUAAUACGGAGGGUGCGAGCGUUAAUCGGAAUUACUGGGCGUAAAGCGCAUGCAGGGUGGUUUGUUAAGUCAGAUGUGACAAGCCCCCGGGCUCAACCUGGGGAAUUGCAUUUGAAACUGGCAAACUAGAGUACUGUAGAGGGGGGUAGAAUUUCAGGUGUAGCGGUGAAAUGCGUAGAGAUCUGAAGGAAUACCGGUGGCGAAGGCGGCCCCCUGGACAGAUACUGACACUCAGAUGCGAAAGCGUGGGGAGCAAACAGGAUUAGAUACCCUGGUAGUCCACGCCGUAAACGAUGUCUACUUGGAGGUUGUGGCCUUGAACCCUGGCUUUUCGAGCUAACGCGUUAAGUAGACCGCCUGGGGAGUACGGUCGCAAGAUUAAAACUCAAAUGAAUUGACGGGGGCCCGCACAAGCGGUGGAGCAUGUGGUUUAAUUCGAUGCAACGCGAAGAACCUUACCUACUCUUGA
Molecule: ribosomal RNA, 658 nt
Filed under: Vibrio japonicus
Lineage: Bacteria; Pseudomonadati; Pseudomonadota; Gammaproteobacteria; Vibrionales; Vibrionaceae
Description: bacterial SSU rRNA
Rfam family: Bacterial small subunit ribosomal RNA
Source: RNAcentral